This 475-nucleotide ribosomal RNA is filed under the name Micrococcus sp. NASA2-4. RNAcentral describes it as "bacterial SSU rRNA". It matches the Rfam family "Bacterial small subunit ribosomal RNA", at positions 1011 to 1483 of the family's 1533-position model. Lineage: Bacteria; Bacillati; Actinomycetota; Actinomycetes; Micrococcales; Micrococcaceae. The record is from RNAcentral.
GGUUUCCCCUUUGGGGCGGGUUCACAGGUGGUGCAUGGUUGUCGUCAGCUCGUGUCGUGAGAUGUUGGGUUAAGUCCCGCAACGAGCGCAACCCUCGUUCCAUGUUGCCAGCACGUAAUGGUGGGGACUCAUGGGAGACUGCCGGGGUCAACUCGGAGGAAGGUGAGGACGACGUCAAAUCAUCAUGCCCCUUAUGUCUUGGGCUUCACGCAUGCUACAAUGGCCGGUACAAUGGGUUGCGAUACUGUGAGGUGGAGCUAAUCCCAAAAAGCCGGUCUCAGUUCGGAUUGGGGUCUGCAACUCGACCCCAUGAAGUCGGAGUCGCUAGUAAUCGCAGAUCAGCAACGCUGCGGUGAAUACGUUCCCGGGCCUUGUACACACCGCCCGUCAAGUCACGAAAGUUGGUAACACCCGAAGCCGGUGGCCUAACCCUUGUGGGGGGAGCCGUCGAAGGUGGGACCAGCGAUUGGGACUU